GACGAACGCUGGCGGCGUGCUUAACACAUGCAAGUCGAACGGAAAGGGCCUGCUUGCAGGGUAUUCGAGUGGCGAACGGGUGAGUAACACGUGGGUGAUCUGCCCUGCACUUCGGGAUAAGCCUGGGAAACUGGGUCUAAUACCGGAUAGGAGCCAUUUUUAGUGUGAUGGUUGGAAAGUUUUUUCGGUGUAGGAUGAGCUCGCGGCCUAUCAGCUUGUUGGUGGGGUAAUGGCCUACCAAGGCGGCGACGGGUAGCCGGCCUGAGAGGGUGGACGGCCACAUUGGGACUGAGAUACGGCCCAGACUCCUACGGGAGGCAGCAGUGGGGAAUAUUGCACAAUGGGCGCAAGCCUGAUGCAGCGACGCCGCGUGGGGGAUGACGGCCUUCGGGUUGUAAACUCCUUUCGCUAGGGACGAAGCUUUUUGUGACGGUACCUAGAUAAGAAGCACCGGCUAACUACGUG
Molecule: ribosomal RNA, 465 nt
Filed under: uncultured bacterium
Lineage: Bacteria
Description: partial 16S ribosomal RNA
Rfam family: Bacterial small subunit ribosomal RNA
Source: RNAcentral